UCGGUCCCAGGCCGAUUUUUUUUUAAUAGAACGAAGUUGAAAAAUACGGCCUGGUAUUGAUUGUAUCUGGGCGUGGCAGGAACAGGAAACAAAAGCAGAGAUUCUUUACAUUUUGUUUCCUGCUUUUUUUCUGUAAUACUAAAGGUGUACGUAGAGGCAUUUUACUCCCGUAAAAGUUACAGUAAUUUAGCUCCGUGUCAUGUUCUCAAUUUAUAGCUAGCUAGCUAGCUAUGGCAUGCAACGCGUUGUCUUGUUUGAAGCAAGAUGGCCUCACUCUCGAUCUCAUGGCAGAACAGGCCCAGGCUCUCAAGCUCCUGUUUGAGGGAAGGGACGUGUUUAUCUGGUUCCCAACGGGGUAUGGCAAGUCUCUCUGCUAUAUCAGUUGCUACCCUUUUUAAUGGACUACAAGCUAGGUAGGACCAAGGCUCCUCCUGUUGACAAAAGUGUUGUUCUUGUUAAUUGUCUCUCCCCUUGUAUCUCUCAUCAUGAGACUCAUGAUUGACCAGAUCAGGAGUCUAAACAAUAGAGGUGUUUCUGCUGCCAUCCUCAGUAGCAAUAAAGGAAUCGACAAAGAUUUGAUUGCCACUGCCAAAGAAGUGUCUUCUGGGAAGUAUUUCCUGCUGUAUACUGCCCCAGAGGCUGUUGUUGAAGACCACUGUUGGAGGAUUCAUUUUUUGUUGUACCACAAGUCAAUUUGUUUUUAUGUAUUAAAAAACCACGCCCAGAUCACGCCCAAAUACAAUCAAUACCAGGCCUAUAGUAGGCGACCUAGCGUUCAAUUGGAGACGGAUCGGCCUGGGGUCGAGGCUAGGCUACCCCUGGCUUUACUGAAUUAACUAGCUGUGUCUGCUGUCUAGUUGGACCAGAUUUAGCUAGAUAAUGGGGUAGAGAAUAGUUGAGCGGUGCUGUGUGUAGCUUGAACUGUACUGGCUGGCAAGAAUCUAGGAUCUGGACAGCUGUACAUCCAAAGGAGCCAAGGAGUGCCAAUCAUCUUCUCCCAGUCUCUGACACGCUAAACAAAACGAGCUAGAACUGGGAGUCCCAGCUAGAAUUGCUAGCCGGAUCUAGACUAAUAGAAUGACAUGGAGGAGUGGUGAGGCCGGAUCCACACUAAUUGAUCGACCUAAAGACGCUCCUGUUCCAGAUUUCACGAAUGGCAAGGAAAGGGAUACAGAGUCAUGCAGGCAGGCCAGUUUGUCCAUAUUGUCAUCGAAUGUGGUUGAUGAGCUUUCUAGACUGGAAUCUGACUGAGUCAUGCAUGCAGCUAGGGUGCCCCCAUCUACAACUACCACGCAUGCAUGCAAUGAAUUUUAGUUCAUACAAUAACAUGACUUCAUUCCAGCAUAGAUAAAGAGAAUCCAGUUGACAUAUAAUACAAUCUGGAAGCUAACUACGUGGUGCCAUGCAAAGUGCAUGCACACGAUGCAUGUUAGUUCAUAACUAGACUGGCGGCGAUAGCCGCCCGAGCGACUGGCAAACUGCCUAUCAGUCACUCGUCUCAGCGGAAGUGUAAUAGAUCGUAUGACACUACUAAACAUGAAUAUCGUUAUAGAUAAUGUGGUUAAAUUUUGCUAUGAGUAGCGAUGUCAGACCGAUUUUCAUUUUUGCUAUUUCUAACUCCUAUGUAUUACUAUCUCUUUUGAACACUCUAGGCAAACCAGAAAAACUUUACUGCACUGGAUUUGGUCAAGCGAAUGCAGAGAUACAGCGUUUUGAAGAACACUAGUCAGGGAAAAAUUCGUACAAAAAUUUACCGCAUUUUAAUGUACUUGGGCGGGACUUAUGAAAUUUGUUGUUAACACCGGAAAUGAUCUUAAAGUUAGCAUAUCUGCUGAACCGCUUGGUCUAUUCUCUUUUAAAAAAGUAUGAAAUGGACACUCAGGACUCAGGAGUUAACAUUGUAACCAUUUGAUAUCUAUUAUGAAGUUUAUAAUGUUUCUGUAAUGUAUAUCUUUAUGAUGUCCCUAUAAUAGUAUGAUGUCUCCUGCUUCAGAGAGUUCUUUUGGAUUUAAAGUAACCAUGCUAUCUUUUCUUUCGUACAGUAUAUUGUAUCAUGUUUCAGAACUCUCAUCAAUGUCCACCUUACGCUUGUAUCUGUUUCUUGAUCUUUAUAAGCAAUUUUUCUGUCAA
Molecule: long non-coding RNA, 2130 nt
Organism: Halichondria panicea
Lineage: Eukaryota; Metazoa; Porifera; Demospongiae; Suberitida; Halichondriidae
Exons: 2
Source: RefSeq, a predicted model, not a curated record